UGGCGAACGGGUGAGUAACACGUGGGCAAUCUGCCCUUCACUCUGGGACAAGCCCUGGAAACGGGGUCUAAUACCGGAUACUGACCCUCGCAGGCAUCUGCGAGGUUCGAAAGCUCCGGCGGUGAAGGAUGAGCCCGCGGCCUAUCAGCUUGUUGGUGAGGUAAUGGCUCACCAAGGCGACGACGGGUAGCCGGCCUGAGAGGGCGACCGGCCACACUGGGACUGAGACACGGCCCAGACUCCUACGGGAGGCAGCAGUGGGGAAUAUUGCACAAUGGGCGAAAGCCUGAUGCAGCGACGCCGCGUGAGGGAUGACGGCCUUCGGGUUGUAAACCUCUUUCAGCAGGGAAGAAGCGAAAGUGACGGUACCUGCAGAAGAAGCGCCGGCUAACUACGUGCCAGCAGCCGCGGUAAUACGUAGGGCGCAAGCGUUGUCCGGAAUUAUUGGGCGUAAAGAGCUCGUAGGCGGCUUGUCACGUC
This 480-nucleotide ribosomal RNA is filed under the name Streptomyces sp. Its description in RNAcentral is "bacterial SSU rRNA". It matches the Rfam family "Bacterial small subunit ribosomal RNA", at positions 96 to 589 of the family's 1533-position model. Lineage: Bacteria; Bacillati; Actinomycetota; Actinomycetes; Kitasatosporales; Streptomycetaceae. The record is from RNAcentral.